CGGACACAAGCUGGUUCUGUAGAGUUCAGUUUCCACAACACACCGCCUGCUAACUGCCUGUUCACACCGCUAUCAUCCAGGAGGCGAGGUCAGUACACAUCAAAGCUGGGACACCGAGAGACUGAAAAACAGCUUCUAUCUCCAGACCAUCAGACUGAUAAACAGCUUCUAUCUCCAGGCCAUCAGACUGAUAAACAGCUUCUAUCUCAAGGCCAUCAGACUGUUAAACAGCUUCUAUCUCAAGGCCAUCAGACUGGUAAACAGCUUCUAUCUCAAGGCCAUCAGACUGUUAAACAGCCAUCACUAGCACAUUAGAGGCUGCUGUCUAUAGGCAUAGACUAGGAAUCACUGGCCACUUUAUUAAGAAAUGGAACACUAGUCACUUUAACCUGUUAGGACUAGGGGGCAGUAUUUACACGACCGGAUAAAAAACGUACCCGAUUUAAUCUGGUUACUACUCCUGCCCAGUAACUAGAAUAUGCAUAUAAUUAUUGGCUUUGGAUAGAAAACACCCUAAAGUUUCUAAAACUGUUUGAAUGGUGUCUGUGAGUAUAACAGAACUCAUAUGGCAGGCAAAAACCUGAGAAGAUUUCAUGCAGGAAGUGGCCUGUCUGACAAGGUGUUGUUGUUCUUGCCUCUGUUUAUUGAAGAGUCAGGAUCUUAGCUGUAACGUGACAUUUCCUAGGGCUCCAAUAGGCUCUCAGAGCCCGGGAAAAAGCUGAACGAUGUCGAGGUAGCCCCAGGCUGAAACACAUAAUCGCCUUUGCCAAGUGGCCGAUCAGAGGACAAAGGAAUUAGGCCCGUGCCCGAGUCGACCCCAUGCUGUAUUUUCUUUCGACUGUUUACCUAAUUGCAGAUUCCCGGUCAGAAUAUUAUCGCUUUUGUACGAGAAAAAUGGCAUAAAAAUUGAUUUUAAACAGCGGUUGACAUGCUUCGAAGUACGGUAAUGAAAUAUUUAGAAAUCUUUUGUCACGAAAUGCGUCGUGCGCGUGACCCUUAUUUACCAUUCGGAUAGUGUCCUGAACGCACAAACAAAACGCCGCUGUUGGAACAUAACUAUGGAUUAUUUUGGAC
This 1074-nucleotide long non-coding RNA is filed under the name Salmo salar (Atlantic salmon). Its description in RNAcentral is "lncRNA (ENSSSAG00000090234.1)". The record is from RNAcentral. Lineage: Eukaryota; Metazoa; Chordata; Actinopteri; Salmoniformes; Salmonidae.